Mycena filopes is the source of this 94-nucleotide non-coding RNA. The record is from the annotation of a GenBank genome assembly. NCBI's taxonomy places the organism in Eukaryota, Fungi, Basidiomycota, Agaricomycetes, Agaricales, Mycenaceae.
GACCUGUUGGUGAAUGGCUCACACCCACUUCUUCUUCGAAGUAUUCCUGCAUGUUAAACAGUGGGAGUUCCUGGUUCGAAUCCGGGUCAGGUCU